CAGCCGUAAACGAUGCUCGCUAGGUGUCAGGCAUGGCGCGACCGUGUCUGGUGCCGCAGGGAAGCCGUGAAGCGAGCCACCUGGGAAGUACGGCCGCAAGGCUGAAACUUAAAGGAAUUGGCGGGGGAGCACAACAACGGGUGGAGCCUGCGGUUUAAUUGGACUCAACGCCGGAAAUCUUACCGGGACCGACAGCAAUAUGAAGGCCAGGCUGAAGACUUUGCCGGAUUAGCUGAGAGGAGGUGCAUGGCGUAGACGUCU
Molecule: ribosomal RNA, 261 nt
Filed under: uncultured archaeon
Lineage: Archaea
Description: partial 16S ribosomal RNA
Rfam family: Archaeal small subunit ribosomal RNA
Source: RNAcentral